CCCAGCCAGGUAUUUCAAGCACUACAAGCACAAGCAUUUUCUCCUCCCCCUUGCAUUCUUUGUUCCCCUUGCCGAGUCAUUUCCUGCAGCUCUGCUCUCCCGGGGCUCUUGGUGGGGACGUGUGCUCUUCUGAGGCUCUCUCACACAUGCCGGAGGAUUGGUCUCACAAUGCGCCUUGUUUAUCUCAUUCUCGCUGCCUUCCUGAGGCAACCACUGGAUGCCAUGGGGCAGACCCUCUGUCACCCAGCAAGAAGGACAAGUCACCGUGAAACAGAAAGAAACGUUCCAGACCACUUGCACGUAUCAAAUCCCCAGCUUAUAUGCUUUGUACUGGUACCAGCAGAAGAAGGGACAAGCCCCUCAGCUGGUCAUAUAUCACACCAGAGCAGGCACCAAGCAGAGUGACCGUCUCACCACGGAGAUGAACACUGAGAGGAAAUCCAGCGUUCUGCGGCUGAAGGAAGUCGAGCUCUCUGACAGCGCCUUGUACCUCUGUGCUGUGAGUGACACCCUGGUGCAGGGAGCUACACUGGCUGUGCAACAACCCCGGAUGGGGAGGGGAUGUAUGUGUGCAAGGCAGAGCUCCGGGAUGGGGCCCUCUUCUCUCUUUUGGCUGACUGCUUCCCCUGUGCACUCCGAGAUCUGCCAGCCAGAUCCUCUUUCCCAAUGGGACUGGUGUCAGUGGCUUGAAAGGAAGGAGAAGGUGGUGAAAGAGGCCCUGCCCUCAAGGUGUUCUCCCUGUGGGAGGGCUGAAUGAUGACAGUGGAGUACUGGCACUGCCUGAAGCAGGGCUCAUUGUGGCUGCUGACCAGUGAGGUUGGGCCACUGGGCCAGCACAGCAUGCACCGGUCAUACAGCGACAUGUCUUAAGGCUGCAGGUGAACCUGGGAGAGAGGGCAGGCAGGAAGAAGAGCACAGGGAAAAGUGAGGAGCAAAAUGUCUUCAUUCAGACAUGAUCCAAAAAGAGUGGUUAGGACCAAUAAGGCUGCUGCCUCACUCUUAGAUGAAAAUCCAGCUCACCCAGGUCCAUCUACAAUGCAACUACACGGUCUCUGAGUCACACUUUCCUAAUCCCUCUCUCAUGACCACCAUCGCCAGGGCGACAGGCUGAGAAAUCCUGAGCAACCUGAUGUGAUGAGACAGAUCACUGUUUCUGUUCAUUCCCAGUGUGCUGCUUGUUCUCAUACUGAUAUCACUCAUAACAUCAAAAGCAGGUGGAGGGAACAGCACUCAUGCACACUGCUGCUCUUGUAAAAAGAUGCAUGAACUCAUGGGUCUACACAGAGGCACUCCUGGAUGCAUUCUUGUUAGGGAAGACACCACCGUCAGGGGAGAUACCAUCCCAAGGGAAUACAACAUCCUGAGGACCUCCUGGCUCCUAGGACCAGUUGAGGAGCUGAGCCUCUCUUCCCGCUGAAUUGGGACGCCUUUAGGUGACAUUUGA
This is a non-coding RNA of Anas platyrhynchos (mallard), 1444 nucleotides long. NCBI's taxonomy places the organism in Eukaryota, Metazoa, Chordata, Aves, Anseriformes, Anatidae. The record is from the annotation of a RefSeq genome assembly.